RNAcentral lists this ribosomal RNA (253 nucleotides) under uncultured bacterium. Its description in RNAcentral is "partial 16S ribosomal RNA". It matches the Rfam family "Bacterial small subunit ribosomal RNA", at positions 524 to 776 of the family's 1533-position model. The record is from RNAcentral.
UACAGAGGGUGCAAGCGUUAAUCGGAAUUAUUGGGCGUAAAGCGCCGGUAGGUGGUUUGUUAAGUUUAAUGUGAAAGCCCUGGGCUUAACCUGGGAAUGGCAUUGGAAACUGGCAGACUGGAGUCGGACAGAGGGCUGUGGAAUUUCCGGUGUAGCGGUGAAAUGCGUAGAGAUCGGAAAGAACAUCGAUGGCGAAGGCAGCGGCCUGGGUCCAGACUGACACUGAGAGGCGAGAGCGUGGGGAGCAAACAGG